UGGGGAAUAUUGGACAAUGGGCGAAAGCCUGAUCCAGCCAUGCCGCGUGUGUGAAGAAGGUCUUCGGAUUGUAAAGCACUUUAAGUUGGGAGGAAGGGCAUUAACCUAAUACGUUAGUGUUUUGACGUUACCGACAGAAUAAGCACCGGCUAACUCUGUGCCAGCAGCCGCGGUAAUACAGAGGGUGCAAGCGUUAAUCGGAAUUACUGGGCGUAAAGCGCGCGUAGGUGGUUUGUUAAGUUGGAUGUGAAAUCCCCGGGCUCAACCUGGGAACUGUAUUAAAAACUGACUGACUAGAGUAUGGUAGAGGGUGGUGGAAUUUCCUGUGUAGCGGUGAAAUGCGUAGAUAUAGGAAGGAACACCAGUGGCGAAGGCGACCACCUGGACUAAUACUGACACUGCGGUGCGAAAGCGUGGGGAGCAAACA
RNAcentral lists this ribosomal RNA (427 nucleotides) under uncultured bacterium. RNAcentral describes it as "partial 16S ribosomal RNA". It matches the Rfam family "Bacterial small subunit ribosomal RNA", at positions 355 to 774 of the family's 1533-position model. The record is from RNAcentral.